Long non-coding RNA from Pelobates fuscus (common spadefoot toad), 1350 nucleotides. RefSeq lists it as uncharacterized. Lineage: Eukaryota; Metazoa; Chordata; Amphibia; Anura; Pelobatidae. The record is from RefSeq and is a predicted model, not a curated record. The transcript is spliced from 2 exons.
CAGAAACUGCUGCUUUCUCCUGCUGCAAGAAGCUAAGAGCUCUGUCUCUCUGAGUUACCCUCUGCUUCAAACAGUGCAUGGGAUUAAUAUUAAGAAUAGAAUGGAUGCAGAUAUCUGCCCCUCCAACUGAAACAUUGUAUGUGAUUGUAUUGCAGCAUCCCAUCAGACUAUUGAGAGCAGAGCAUGUGAGUGAGCGAGGAGGGGGUGUGUAUGUUUUUCUCUGUCUAUUUGCUCCUGUGACGUCUGUCGACUCACUUCGACAGCAGAACGUUCCAUUGAGCUGAACGCGUGCUGCAAGCACAUGGAAUCUGAACUGCAGCUUUCCCCAUUGGAAAUGGAUGAUCCCAGCGUACCCCAAAUUUAUUUCCUAGUGGAUUACUUGGACACACUGCUAGUGACAUCAGUGGGACCGUCUGAAAGGAGAACGCCCGUUUUGGCUUUUGUGGAUUUUUCGGUGGAUUUACAGUAAACAUUGGUGGAUGGCAAACUGGAUUCUUCAUGGUUUGGUUUUGGAUCGAUUAUAUAUUUACUGGAUAUAUUUCCGAUGUGAGAAACUUACCCAGGAUAUUAAAACAGAAAUAUGGAAUUUAAAACACCCUGGUUGGACAACACGGAACCUUGUUAACGCGUCCGAAAAAAAUAUUUUACCUCCUCUCCUGGUCAUUGAGUCAUGAUAUUGAUGGUUUAGUGGAUUCUUAAUACAGUGUUUACUUUACGACUUAGAAUAUGUAGACAGUCCUGCACUUUAAAAGGUACUGUGUUACUACAUUUCAGUUAAAGAAAUCCUCUUUAUAACUGCUGAUGAUGGAAUUGAAGGAGACUGCAUUAUCUAAAUUGAUUUAAAACGAUAUGUAUUCAUGACAACUGCGUGUUCUAUUCCUGCCCUGUGGAGGGCGCCGUUUAGACCACAGAUGUGACAAUUGACUUUCAGGAAUACAUGUAAGGCCUUGCACAUACUAUACAUUACAAUAUAUAACAUAGUUACUAUCUACAGUAUCUGUAGUUGUAUUACUGCCUUCUUAUGAAAGGAUAUUUGCAUACAAUCUAACAGUUAAGUUGGCUUCAAACAGAUGUUAUUGAAUACAGUUUUGAUGAAUGAGAGUUUUGAAGCACAAGUCUUUCAUCAGCUGUGACGACCAUGUUAAGACAAGAUCAUAUUAUAGUCCCGGAAGUUGAUAUGAUAAAAACAUGUAACUUGACAAUAAUAAAAUCCAUGAUAUUACUGAUAUUAACUCUUUAUGUACAAGGAGAUGUUCUAAUGUUUGACUUCAUAACAUAGAGGGCCAGCUUUCCAGUUGCCCACAUCUGCCAUUUCUUAUCUAUUGACGUGUUUUCAAUCUUAGUCUUCCC